RNAcentral lists this ribosomal RNA (465 nucleotides) under uncultured bacterium. Its description in RNAcentral is "SSU rRNA". It matches the Rfam family "Bacterial small subunit ribosomal RNA", at positions 26 to 518 of the family's 1533-position model. The record is from RNAcentral.
AGGACUAACGCUGGCGGCGUGCCUAACACAUGCAAGUCGAGCGGGGUAGCAAUACCCAGCGGCAGACGGGUGAGUAACGCGUGGUCAACCUUCCGUUGAAUGGGGGAUAACUAGCCGAAAGGUUAGCUAAUACCGCAUACGAUCUUUUGAAGGCAUCUUUAAAAGAUGAAAGGAGCAAUUCGUUCAACGACGGGACCGCGUCCCAUUAGCUAGAUGGUGGGGUAAUGGCCUACCAUGGCAACGAUGGGUAGCUGGUUUGAGAGAGCGACCAGCCACACUGGGACUGAGAAACGGCCCAGACUCCUACGGGAGGCAGCAGUGAGGAAUUUUCCGCAAUGGGCGAAAGCCUGACGGAGCGACGCCGCGUGUGGGAAGAAGGCCUUCGGGUCGUAAACCACUGUCGAAGGGGACGAUAAUGACGGUACCUUGGAGGAAGGCCCCGGCUAACUACGUGCCAGCAGCCGC